UGAAAUUGAGCAUACAAAGGUAGGAAGUUUAAUCAACAAAGUUUCAGUUGGCUGAGUUGUUUGUGAGUAUAUACGCCCAGCAAACUAAAAACUUGCUCAAAUUUUCUUUCUAGUUAGCAGCAGACAAAUACUGGACUGGAGAUGGUAGAUCCUGGUGAUAUCACAAAAUCGCAGUAUAAUUGUGAUGGUAUGAAAAUAUUUCCAAAGAAUACCUUGGCUUGUGCUUUAAGCAGGUCCCUUUUGUAAUCUUACUGAUAGGGCAGCUAACAUCUCAAUAUUGAGGAAAUGUUAACUUCUGAUUUUCUUUCUAACUCUAAUUACUCCACAAAAACACAUGCAAAAUAUUGCUACAUCAUUCAAUUGAUAACAAACGAAUCAUUGUGAGGAAGAGAGAGAGAGAGAGAGGCUGCUAAGGCUUACGUAAUCAUGAGAAUUAUCCUGAUGUUCAUCAUGAUGUGUACCCCUAGCAUCUUUACCAAAUGAUAUUUCUGGGGAUUCCUCAAGGGCAUUUCCAGAUGCAGACAACAAAUCACCACUCUCCGUUGGUCUGGGGGUAACCUUAUUGUACGAAAUUUCUGUUUUCUUUUCUCUAACCUGAGGAGAUCGAACAGCACUUCUUAUGGUUCCAGUACUCUGUGAUCCACCAAUACUGAAGUCCCACCCAGCAUUUUUUAAUGGCUUUCCCUGACCACUGCAAAUUAAACCACACUACCAAACUAUAACACCUCCUUUUAGAUCAGAGUAAGAAUAGAUACUACACAAGCAAUUGUAAUAAACAAAUUCUAUCCACCUGGCUCGAACAGUUCCCUCAUCUCCCACAUCUCUGGUCACUUUCACAGUGCCGGAUGACUGUGCCACUGCUCUUGGACCAUUCCUGGGGGUUUCUGCAUCCUUUAUUUGGUACUUUGGACGCUCUCUGUCAAGAUAACCAGACUGUAAAUACUGUGAUUUCAGCACCAAAAAAGAAGCUCCAACUAAACACUUUCAGUCAUGGACAACAGAAAUUUCAGGUUUUCCAUGCGCAAGCAAAUCAAUCACAUAAUGAGUUCUCUCAAAGCACCUUGUGUGCAUUGGCAUGGCAUUGUCGUUUAUUGGGGGAAUCAAGGAUUAGCGAAACAUUAAAAAUAUUGGUACGCAAUUCUUUUGGGCCUUUAUUAACCCCACUUAACUUAUUAAAAAAAAAAAACAUUACAGUGUGCAUUUUGAUUUAAAUAGGUGAAAGGGCUCAAAUUUGGAUGUUUUGAUUUUGCAAUCUCAUUUACCAAAUAUACACAGGGGUUUCCAUUCUUACUUCAUUUAAAAUAAACUUACUUUAUUACAAAAACAAAUUAAACUUCAUAGAAAUUAUAUAUUGUUUAUCAUAACAUAUCUAUUUUUUAAAAUAAUCAUUUUACAGAUAAUAUGUGAAAUUAUAUUAAUAACAUUAUUAUUUUUUAUUACAUUAUUUAUAAAAAAAUAUGUUAUUAUCUUUAUGUAAGAGUAAAUGUUUUUUAACAUUUCUUAAAACAUCACUAAUUGUUAUUGUUUUAAUUCUCAAAACAUCACUAAUUGUUAUUGUUUUAAUAAUUUUUCAUAAAACAGUUACUUCUCGAAAUAUAUAUCAUUCUUUUAUAAAUCUAUGAAAUAUGCAUACAAAUAUCAAAGAUUUUAAUUUUAAAAAAUUUGACAAAAAUUUAUAUUUAUAUGUUCUUUUGAAUUAUUAUCAUUUUUCCAUUAAAUUUUAUAUUUUCCAUAAUAUGAUUUAUUGCGAAAAAUAGAUUCAUUUUAUAAAAAUUAAGUAAAAUAUAAAAUUUUCUCGUAACAAACUAAUUAUUACUUUGUUUUAAAUAAAGUGACCAUAACAGUCACCUAUAUAUAUAUAUAUAUACAUAUAAUAUUGAUUGUUGUUAUACUUGAAGUUCAUUUUAUUUGUUAAUACUUUCUUUUCCAACCCCAGAAAUUGCAAAGUGAGAUUAGGAAUCAAAUUUGUGGGUUAUAAUUAUGCUUUAGGAAUCCUUGUACCUAAUUUCAUAUAGUAUACACUUGGCUUGUCACAUGAAACUAAUUUCAUAUUUCCAUAUGUGAAAAUAAUUAUGAAGUCAAAUUUUCACAUCAAGAAUUAUUUAUAGAUGAAGAGAUGUCAUUGGGCUUUUUAUUUGCCAAACAGAACAUAUAACAAGUAAGCCUUAAUCUCUGCAGUACACAGACAUGCAUACACACACACAGAUAUACAUAUAUAUAUCCCAACUGAAAAAUUAUAUGGCUCCAUCCCUGCUCAAAUGCAUCGUUGUCAAAGGUAUGCCUGAACUACAGUGCACUAAGGCCCUACGUCUUCUGCCUCAAGUUGACACAGGUGACACACUAUGACAAGGAGUCGAGAAUUUUAACUAGUACCAUCAUUUUAAACUUAUAAAAGUGGAGUGUGGAUUUGGCUUUAACAAUGGAUGUUACUAAAAAUGCCAAUAAAAGAAACACUUAAAUCGAAUAAACUCUCAGCAAGUAAAUAUCCAAUAACCUAAACGCCCUUUCUCCCUUCCAAUCCACCUGAUCUCUUUUUUCCAAUAGGAGCUUGAAGAAUAGAAUUUGCAGAAUGUUACUAUGCUGAUUUAGUUAAUACUAGUCAAGAUUCUAAUUAGUUUUUCUAGAAGUAGCUAGAAUAGCAGAAUAUUGGGAUCCACUAUUUUGAUUGUAGUGUCUGUUGAAAUAUGCUCACUUUUGAAAAGACUUUUUCCCUUUUUUUUACAUUCAUGUGUACAUGACUCUUGUUGAACUAGUCUUAGUAGUCAUCUUCUUUGCACCAAAAUAGCAUGAGAAAAAUUUGAAACAUGCAAUUAUGAUCUUGUGUUGAUGUGUUUUGCAUUUUUACAACCAGUUUGUACUUUGACUUCAGUCGAAUUAAUCUUAGUAAUUCAUGGUGUCUCAUAAUAGAUUUUAGCACGCUUCGCAUUCAGUCAUUUCAACUUAAUAAACUGAAAAGUAUUAUAUACAUAUUUUAGGCACAUGCACCUUUCACCUAUGCCCUGUGUAGUGUGUAUACAGCUUAUGUCUUUGACAACUAGCUUAUGUUAGACAGGCUGGUGCAGUGCCCAAAUUCCAAAGGCUCACUAGAAAAUAAAAAAAAUUGAAAUCAUAUUUCCAGAUUAAGAAUGAAUAACGGGUUACAGCAUGCACCUUAUUCUUUCUAGAAGUCUUGGGCUCUUCCUAGCAUUUUUAAUAAAACGGUGCUUCAAAAGCUCCUUAGCACUUGGCCUCUGAAAUUAAAUUGAUAAGACUAAAUUACAAGAAAGUAUGAAGUAUGCAUAAGAUAAUCAUGAAACAAAACAAGGAUAAAUGUUUAAAAAACUAAAAGAAUCAAAGAGGUAAGAAGCAAAAAGUGCCAUACAAUCAAUAAAUGUUAAUUAACAUGAGUACUACUUGCAUAAAAGUUGAGAAAAAACCACAGAUCACCUUCAAAUCUCAACUAUAAUAUUAUUUUCAACCAUUAGUAGAGGGGUUUUCAUCAGUGCAGGUUGCCUAAGCAAUAUGCAAUUAUUUUAUCAAAUGAAUUUUGAACACUUCAGUCACUUCAGCCUAAGGUUCUCAAAUGACUAGGCAUAUGUACUGUAUAGUAACUCCAAUAGAACACAAAAUUUUGCAAUAUAAAAUGAUUCAAAAGCUAAAGACUGGACAUAGUCACUUCUGGUCUUUUAGGGAUAGGUGCCCACAGCACACUUUUGGACUAAUCAUUUGUGUAACCUACUGUAGUCACUUCUAUACCAAGGUUCUAUAAGAAUCAUUGCACCCGGAAUUCUUGAAUAAAAACUAGAGAAAUUUCUGUCCAAUUUUACUUUAAAACAUCCAUGUUUAACUUAUGACUCAACCAUCUGAGAAAUGAAUGAUUCUAUCUCUAUAAGGAUUUCAUUGCUCAGGGAAACUGUUAAACAGGUAAUAUUGGGUUCCUUUUCAAUCACUUCUUCCAUGUCAAAUUAUUCAUUUCCAGUUACCGAGCACAAAAAGAUGGAGGAGAAUUGUUGAACUAGUACAAUAAAGACAAAAUGCCACGAGAGUGGUCACAAAAAGAACAAACAGCCAUAUGCAAUUUAUUGGAUACGCAACUCUUUUAGGCUUGUAGGUAAAUGUAACUUUUAAGUGAGUUACCAUAUAAAAAUCUACGAGGACAAAGUCAAUUUGGUCGUGUUGCUCACAACUCAAGUAUUUCUCCUCAAAUACCUAUCAAUGUUAUUGGAAGCUUUUAAGCUUGCGCUAGAACCAACUAUUGAGUAGAAUGGUUAAAAAAAAAAACAACUGACUUUUUGACUGAUACAUGUGAAUCCAAUCCAACAAUCUAAUUCAAUUUUGAAAAAUAAUUGGUCUGACAUGUGAAUCCAACCCAGCAAUCUACAGGUCCCAGGAUCAAAUUCAGUUUUUAAUAAAUAACUGGAUGGCAACUCUCGAGAAUUAAGAUACAUUAAAAGGAAGAGCCUUCUUUUGUUUUCUUUCCAUUUUAAAAAUCUACCUUUCUUCAGGUCCAAUACAUCAGCUUGAACACAAGUAUGGCUUCUCAUUCGACAUCCAAAUACAAAUAAACAAAGAAUCCAAUCCCAGGAACCAUAUGCAUGGAGUUGACACACGGGUAUGGAUCCAAAGAUCGUACUCUUCAUGAUCCCACUGUUUUAUGAGUAAAUAUUUUAGGAUUCUUCUUGGAUUCAUUAUAUUACUGGUGUGUGGCUCUCCGUCAAUGUGUAGGGUCAAAAAUUUGAAGUUGUUCAUCUAAUUUAUCAUUGCUGAAUUACAACCUUAAUCUGAAAUAUGCCGGUUGAAGGAAUAUCAACCUUAAUCUGAAAUAUAUCCAACCCAAUCAUUGUGUCCUGAUGAGUGGGAAUAUAGCAGGGCUAUGUCAUAAAAUUUGGGCAAUGUCAUCUGAAGUGGAUAGCCUAGGCUAAAAUGCAAAGGCUAUGUAACUUUAGCUCAAGAAUGCAAUUCCAAAAUCCAAAUGCAAACCGUCUUGUCUCCAUUAUCCACAGAAUGAUAUCCAAAAGAAGCAGAAACUAGAACACUUAUACAGGAGGAAUAAGUACUUGCCUCAGCAGGAGCUUUCUUUAAACACAAUGAAACAAAUUCUUUGAUUGGACGAGAAAAAUGCUCAUCGAGCUGCACAAGAAACACAGAAUGUUGAUUCUCUUAAACUGUGAAGAAUGAUACUUCCAUCUGACAAAAGAUAUCAAUAUUCUAAAUGAAGUAAUAAGUAAUUAACCAGUUUGAUAUCAAAGAACUUCUAGAAAACCUGUGGGGGAUUUUCUCGAGGUAUGAUAAAAAGGACCUUCAUAGGAUAAAGAUCUGCAAGGGGGGGUUCCCCCUUUGCCAUCUCGAUGGCAGUUAUACCCAGUGACCAAAUAUCUGCCUGCAUGAUGCAAAAGGUCAAUAUGCAAUAGACAUUUAUUGGGCUAGACAGGUUUCUAAAUAGAAAUUCUCAGUAAUAAUUUAGAAGAAUUACCUUCUCAUUGUAUCCCUCUGAAUUUUGAAUUACCUCUGGCGCCAUCCAGAAUGGAGUUCCUACAAAAGUCUGUAAUUACAAACCAAAUUAGCAAUUUUCCAUUAAAUUCCAUUAUCAAAUUAGAAAAGUUAAAAGCAUUUCAAACAUUAAGAACUACUGACUUCAAUUUCUAAAAAAAAAAUAAAAAAUCCCUAUGAAACAUCUCUGCUCUAAAAUGGUCAUAUCAUAUAAGGAAUGCAUGAUCAGAUGGGCAAGCCAAGACCUGUAAAAUUCCAUCUUCUAAAUCAUUAUUUCACAAUAUUCGAUACUCAGUACUUAAAACAGUUUAUGAAGCUUAACUUCACAAAAACAUAAGAACAUAGCUUUCAGCUUUGUGCUAAACUACUAUUUUGUAGUAACCAUUAUUUGACUAACCUUUUAAGAGAAUUUAACUGAUAAGCAACACACAUUCACAGACACACAAUUGGAAGCAUGUGCACAAGAAAAAAAAAAUGAUUUAGACAAGGGGGAAAAACUGUCAUAUCAAAAAGGGAAAGAAAUAGUUAACCACUCCAGUCAAUUCAGUUUUUAUUCAUACUUCAUGCACCUAACAGUUAAUCCAACCAACUAAGGUUUCAACUUCACUAUUAUAAUAUUAUAUAUUCUGCAUUAAUAAUAGUAUAAUAUUUAUGAAUAUCACAAAAAUAUUUUAAUUCACAUAUUUGAACUUCAAAUUUUUCUGUCCACUCAUUUGUACAGAUGAAGGAUCUAUCUCUUGUUGGCUUCAAAAUCUAAUAUCACCUCCUGUGGUUAAAUAAGGAAGGAGGCACAGCAUCCAUUGUUAUCUGUGUGGAAAAACAAAAAGGAGGCAGGUAACUCCUUUGAGAUGUAACCAAUAUGGGACAAAUUAUCCGACAUUAAAACAUGUAAAGGAAGCAGAGACUCCUCUUCAUAUAAACAUAUAAGCCCCCAUCUCCCUUCAUACUUCUGCACAAGCCCUGGUUCAAGGCUUCUGCUCCUUAGGAGAAGCCUCAAUGAAGUGGCACUAUUAUUUAAUUAGUUUAAAUUUUUCAAGGUUUUGGUGAACCAGCCAAUAAAAAAGUUGUUCGGUUUUGCUGUAUAUGAAUGAACCAAGAUUAUUGUUUUAGUUUGCAGAAGAGGUAUACAAUUUGAAAUAGACACACCUAAUCCUUAUUAAAAGCUAGCUAGAGACAAUGAGAAACAGGUCGUCAAAUGAGAGGCCUAACUAUAAUGCUAUAAAUUAAACAUAAAAGUUAUACCAUGUCACAUCAAGAUGUCCACUUUUUAUCACAUCAAGAAUGAAGCUUAGAGGAAAAGAUGUAGUACCUUUCUCCUAGAUAUUGUUCUUGUUAAUUGGGCAGAAACACCAAAAUCUGCAACCUGUCACAAGGACAUAAUUAUAACUUGGAAUACUAAAAGUGCAAGCUCGUAAAACCUGUUGCAUUACUGCAUAUCCUUCUACAUUACUCUUAUAAAUAAUUCAGGAGAUUUUUACAUGCAAUUGAGAAAAAGGAUAUACCUUAACAUCGCCAUUCUCACCCAACAAAAUGUUUGCGGCUGCAAAAAUUAUAAUAUUAAUGUUACCACUUGAACAAUAAAUUUAAAGCAAGGCAGGCAAACUAGAGCAAAUAACACACGGGUGAAGCCCCUAAAGUAAGCAAACAUAUGAUUUACACAAGUCCAAUUUAACCAAAUGUUCAAAGUAAUUUCAACAAUAUCUAAAUGAUAAUGAGAUUCAAUUAUGAUGGGAGAGGGAAAAAAAACCUUUAAUAUCUCUGUGAAUUUUCCCUUCAUUGUGUAAAUACUCAACUGCAUGCAGCAAGUCACGCAAAAUACAAGCAAUUGACAUUUCAUCUAGGGGAGGACCUGACUGGAUCUGCAAAAAAAAUAAAUAAAUAAAUACUAGAUCAAUGAAGUAACCUACUAGAUCAGCAACUGAAGUAACCUACGAGAUCAGCAACUGAGCCGCCAGCCAUGUAUUCCAUUAUUAUCCAUAAUUUAGUUUGGUUAAGAUAAGAACCAUAGUACUCUGUAAUAUAUGGACAACGGCAUUGUGACAGAACUGAAAUUUCCUGACAUGAAAAUCAGAUACAUGAGUAAUGUAGUCAUUUGGCAAUUUCACACAUAAUAAAUUAGACAGGCAAGAAUAUAAAGUAAUACCUUCUGAAUGUCCUCAAUUUCAUCCUCACUACAGAAGCCAAAAUCAAAAGCCUAUUAGGAAUAUCAAAUAACAAUAUCCAAAUAAAGACUAACAAGUGAUGAAUGUGUCAUGUACUAUAAGAAUCUUGCACUGCUUAGUCAAAUCAGCAUGUGACUAAGAGUGGCUUCAUUGAAAUCAUAUCGCCAAAUUUUUGUUUUUAUGAUUUUAUAUAAUUUUAAUAUAGUAAUAUUUAUUUUUCAUUUAUUAUUGUAAAAUUUUAAUUUUAAGCUUUUGUUUAUUACAUACAAUUGAAAAUUAUUAUUUAAAUUUUAAAUUAUUUAAAAUAUUUAAAAUUUCAGAAACUUAUUUUAAUAAUUUUUUAUGUUUCUUAUUAAUUAUAAUAAGAAGCAUUAUUAUUAAUUUUAUAAUAUUUAUUUAAUAAUAUUACCAGUUCAACUGUAGUUCGACCAUGAUUGAACCUUGAACCCUUAAUCAUUGGCCCUCACUGGUUCUUUGACCAGGCCGAGUUUAAAUGAAGUGGUAAAUAUUGAAUAACAUGCGUCUAGAAUACAAACAUCAAAAAUAAGCAAGGGUAUAUACUUACGAUUCUUCCAAAUCAAUGACUUUGAUAGCAACUUCUUUGUUAAGCUCCUUAUCAAACCUAAAUAUCAAAGAAUGCAUCAGGAACGCCAGGUUAGAAGGCAACCAAUCCUCAGAUUGUAACGACAACACACAGUAUUUUGGGAAUAAGAACAGCUUGAAAGAUGGACAGUAAUGAAUCAAGAGUUAUAAAGCCCUGUAAUGUUCAACAUAAUUAUGGAUACAUAGUAUCACAGCAACAUUUUUAGAUUCUGAUAAUGUAAUUGGUUUCUGUUAAAAAAUCUUCAUUGUGCAGUUUAAUCAUCUUAAACAAUCAUAUAACAUAACCCACAUUUAAGGAGCCUGCCAAUGGAAACACAAUUCUUGAAAUAAAACAUUCUUUUGACUAAUUUGUGCUUUUCCUUCUUUCAAUACCACUGCAGAAUUUCAAAUGCAAAAAUCACUAUCGACAUUGCAAGUGCAUUACAAUUUACAACAGAAGUACUCAUUACUUAUAUUACUAAGGAAUAUAUAUGGCAAAAGAAACAUGUGUUUAUAAAUUUUACAGUAAUCUUGCAUAUGAUUAUCAGCACGAGAAUGCAAAUUCAAAUGAUGCGCUUUAAACAAUUAAGAGCAGACUACAAUAGUUACUAGCUCCCGUAACAAACAAAUAUGAGCACUGAAAAUGAUUUAAUCAAUAAAUGGCCUUGAUCAAGGAAUACUUACGCUUUGUAGACAUCACCGAAUGAUCCUCUCCCAAUCAACUCCAAGGAGCUAAAUCUAGUACCAGCUGCCUCCAUUAACCCUGCUGCAUCAGCCAUUUCUACACCAAGCAAACACCUUUCCCUACACCCACUUUACCCACCAAUAUAAUCAGCUACACCCACUUUACACACCAAUCCAACCCAAAUAAUCUCCACAUUACCCGCAUUCUCCAAAAACACAAUUCCAAUUUACAGCACCAAAUCCAAAUAAGUCAAGAAGGGCCUUUACCAAUCCAUACUUUGUCCUCAAAAACCAACUCUGCGUCAUGAUUUGCGGCAACCCAUUAAAAAAAUACAACAUAAACGCAAAUCUACCACAACUGAGAUCUAUAAAACGGGAAAAUUAUAUAUACAAAAAUGCGUUUGAGCAAUGCAACAGAGAUAUUUUACACUCAAAGCAAAAGCAAAUGGAAGAUGGUGAUAAAGCAAUUUCCAAGUUGUAAACAAUUGGGUUCUGUUAGGUGAAGGAGAGUGAGAUAUGCUACAGUGACAGACCAACAGAAUCCCAAUGCAACAAAAGACUUGUAGCAAUGAUAGCUAAACAACAACACACACGUGGCUUCAAAAUUGGGUUUCAUUUUAGCGCUUCGCUUCUGUUCGAUGGAUAAAUAGAGAUUAAGAGAUUUGGGAAUCUGUUUACCUGUUAAUAUCGAGAAGAGAGGUCUACAGAGACCUCCAUAGAUCCUUCUCUUAGGAUUUUUCUCUCCCCAAAAGAAGAAGAGAGCAAGUUUUCUCUAUCUGUCUUUGUCUUUAUGUCUAUAUCUGGCCCUCGUUGCAGAGAGGUCGUGAGAGCUACAAGGGAUCGAGAUAGAGAGAGAGAGAGACUCUUGUGCUGUGUGAUGUUUAAUGGAAGUUUUAUUGGCUGUUUAUUAUUUCAUAAAUAACUCCUAAUUCUUAUUAAUUACACUUCUAGACAGUAAUUUAAGGAUAAAUUGUAUUUUGAUCCUCUAAUAAAAUUACUCAAUUUUAAUUUAAAUAAAAUAAAAAAAUGGAAAUGCACAUUGCUAACUAUGUAAUUUUAUAAAUAAUGUUAGAUUUUUUAGAAAUUAUUAUUUAAUUAUUUAAUAAUUUAAAGUAAUAAACAUUAUUUAUUGAAAUAUUAAUUAAAAAAUAUUUUUUAAAAUAAAAUUUUAUCGCUAAUUUUAAAGAAUAAGAAUUACAUUUUAAUAUUAAUUAUAAAGUAUUUUAAAUAUAAGUAUCACUAGAUUUCUUCUAUCACACUUUAUGAAGAAUAUUUAAUAUUUUUUAAAACAUUAUUUAAAAUUUUUAUUGAUAGUUUUAUUAGUUAAGAAAAAUAAAUUAAAACCUUAAAAUUAAGUUUAUUUAAGUUGAAUUUGCAUUAAUUAGUUAAAUAUAAUUUAAAGUAAUAAAAUAAUAUAAAAUAGUAAUAAUUAAAUUAUUAAAUUAAAACUUUAUUUAGAUACAUAAAAGUGAUAAAAACAAAAUUGGAGAAAAAUAUCUAAAAUUAUUACUAAAUUAGUGUAGUUUAUUUUGAAAUAAAAUUAAAAUUAUAUGAGUUUGUUAAAAUAAAUUAAAAUUAACCUGUAUAAAUAAAAUAAAUUUUUAAUAUAUUUAUUUAUGAAAAAUAAAUUAUAUUUAAAAAAUAUUUUCUGUUGAAAAAUAUUUUUCAUGUAAAUAUCUUUUAAUAUCUUAAGUGAAAAUUUUUCCCCUUUCAAUGACCAAAAGGGAAAAUGUUCUCCCUCGGUUUUAAUUAGUUCCCUUUUAGACAUUUGGUCUCUUAAUAAUGUUGGCUUGGUUGUCAAACUUUACUUCUACGCAAAUCUUCUUUGUCAUCUUAUCAUCUGCAAAAUUACCAUUUGGUCAUUCAACCUUUAAAAUAUAUGAGUUUUCACCCCAAAACUUCUUAAAUGUUACUUUUUAAGUCCAAAAUAAUUGAUAAUCCGAUAGAUUGAUAAUUCCGCAAUUACAAACUAAUAGAAAUAUACUAAACUCAUAUCGAGAUUCGCUCUGCUAGGAAAAAGGCAAAUUUUCUCGGAAUGGAAUGUAUUUCCUACUUAUCAUUCUCUUGCACUAGAACUGGUGAUUGAUUAUUAUUGUAACAUCAAAACAUAUAACAAGCUAAUUAUUCAUUAUGGCGUUCCAGAAUAUAUGAUUUUUUUAAUAAAAUAAUUAUUUACUUUUAUUAUUUUCAUUUAAUACUAUUAUUCAAUAUAUGAUUUUUUUAAUAAAAUAAUUAUUUACUUUUAUUAUUUUCAUUUAAUACUAUUAUUCAAUAUUUUAAUUUUCUAAAUUAUAUUUAAAAUUAUUAUUUAUUAAAUUAUAAUUAAUUAAUAAAAACUAACUAUAUAUUAUUUUUUAUGGAUGAAAAUGUAUAUAAAAUUUACUACAAUUAAUUUGAAUUGAGUUGAAAUUAUUAUAACUAAUUUUUAUAAUUAUAUAAAAUUUUACUAAAGUUAUAUGAUACUGCUAUGACUAUUUAAUUAAUAUAUUACUAUUUUAUCAAAUAUAUAUAUAUAUAUAUGUAUAUAUUAAAACAUAUAAUUAUUAGAUUUUCAUUAAUAUAAGAUUUUUCAGUGGCUAUUUCUUUAUAAAAUAUAGUUUUUUAUUAACUUUAUACAUUUUAAAUUAUUAAUUUUAUUUUCCAUCUAUUUUAUAAUUUUUAUUCACUUUGCUUUUUUAUAUAUAUUAAUAAAAAAAUUAUUAAUUUUAUAAUUAUAUUUAUUUUAGAUAUAUUAAAUUUUAUUAAAUAUCAUAAAAUAUUUCGAGAAAUUUCUUAAAAAUAAAAUAGAAUUAAAUAGAGUUAUAAAAGUCAAUUUUUAUAUUAUUAUAAUAUGAAAAAGAAAAAUAAAAAAUAAUAUUAAAAUAAUAAAAAUAAAUAAAAAUUAUGAGAUGAAAAAAUAUUAAAUAAUAUUUCAUUAUAUUAUAUUUCUUUAAUAUAAUCAUGAUAUUAAAAUUUUUAAUAUUUAAAGCUGAUGACAAUAUUCAAAUAAUUUAUUUAGAUUCCAUCCUUAUAUUAUUGUAUUUUAAUUAUAUCUAUAAUGAAUUUUCAUGAAAUUUUUAUAAAAUGUUUAAGAGAUAAAAAUAUAUCAUUAUAGGAUAAUACUUUAUUCAAAUUAACUUAAAACUAUUGAUAUUUUUUCUUUUAAUUUUUUAUAAAUUAAUUUGAAAAAUGAAAAAUAAGAAAACUUAUUCAUUUAUCUAAUUUUUCCAAUUUUUCAUAUUUCAGUUUUCUUUUACUAUUUUUAAUUAAAACUUAUUUUUAUUACUUAAGGUACAUUAUAUUGAAAGAAAAAUAUUAUUUAUGUGCAACUGUAUAAAUAAUUUUAUGGGGUAAAUAUAAACUUUUAAUUUACGAUAACAUCAUACCUAAAAGUAAAUAUUAAAAAUAACUAUAACAAUUAAUUAAAAAAAUAAAGUGGCAUAAAAUUAAUUACUUUCAGACAACUUGCUUAUUUAUCUAUAAUUUUUUUUGUAACAGUGAAUUCUAUUGGAUAUCACAUAUAUAUAGACUAGGGGUGAGCAGUAUUCGGUUUAGACCGAAAUAACCAAUCGAACCGAUUAAUUUCGAAAAUUUAGUUCGGUUUUAUUUUUUUCGGUUCGAUUCGAUUUGAAAUUUUUAAAAAAUCGGUGAUUUCGGUUCGAUUCGGUUUUAGACGUAAAAAUUUCGAUUAGACCGAACCGAACCGAAAUCACCUAUACUACGUCGUUUUAAUAGUUCCCUAUUCCCUAUUUCCAUUCCCUUCCCUUCCCUUCCCUGCCCUAAAUCUAAAACAAAUUUCUAUCUCUUCGUGCGUGCCGCCAGUGCUCCUGCUCCAUCUUUAUCUCUGUGUUCAUCUCUGUGCUCUGCUCCAUCUCUCAUCUCUAUGCUCUGCUUCAUCUCUCAUCUCGCCGCGAGAUUCUCGCGCCUGUGCCUCCACUCUCCUCUCGACUGGACUGAUUCACCAUCGACGUCGGUCGUUGCUCUCUAUUGGCUCUCCACGCGUCGUCGGGCAGUGGACAAUCUCUCAUCUCUAUGCUCUACUCCAUCUCUCAUCUCGCCGCGAGAUUCUAGCACCUGUGCCUCCACUCUCCUCUCGACUGAACUGAUUCACCAUCGACAUUGGUCGUUGCUCUCUAUCGGCUCUCCACGUGUCGUCGGGCAGUCGGCAAUUUGGUCGUGCUUAUUCUACAGCCCUCAGUCCUCUCCGAGUAUCUAUGUCGCGUUUCCAGCCAUUCACGGUUGAAUUUGAGUAAACUGUAAAGGUAAGUAAAUAUUUAUGAUUUGCUGUUGAUUGUUGAAUUUGUGUACGUUUGAUUGUUGAAUUUGUGUGUUGAAUUUGUGUGCUGUUGAUUGUUGAAGUUGUGUGCUCUUGAUUGUAUCGAUUUAACCGAUCGAACCGAACCGAACCAAAUCGGUUUGAUUCGAUUAUCUCUCUUAUUUGGUGCGGUUCGAUUUAUGUAAAAUACUGCAAUUCGAUUUUCGAUUAUUUCGGUUCAGUUCUGAACCGAACCGACCGAAUGAUCACCCCUAAUAUAGACUAUAACAACUUUCAUCUGAACACUGAAUUCUAUUAAAAAUGGAAACAUGGAAAAAUAAUUUUUUGAAAAUUAUUAUUCUCGAUUAUAAUAAUAUUAAGAUAAUAAUUUUAUAAUAUUAUUACGAUACUGCUAUAUAAAUUUUAAUAUUUAGUAAUAUUAAAAUAAUACUUUUCAAAUAUUUUUUUAGGAGAGUAAGUGACUAAUAAUUAAAAGGAUCAAAAGUUAGUGGUUGAAAAUUUAUACUUUUCAAUAAUAUAUUUAUAUUUAUUUUUGUAAUUAUUUAAAAAAACUUAUAUUUACUGUGUAAUCCUAAUUAGUAUGACAUUAAUAUAUAAAUAUCAAGUCUUCUAUCUUCAGGAAAAAAAAAAAAGAACAUUCAUCUUUGUGGUUGAUGAAGAAAAUUAAUUACAGAAAGAACCAUGUACAUAUUUUAGAAAAUAAAAGCCAAGUCGAAGAGUGAUAAAAGCAGCGAUAUUUUAGAAAAUAAAAGAAAGAAUAAAACUUCGAGAGGGGUUUCUAAUUCCAUGAUUUUCAUUGUUUUCAUGAUUUGAGGUCUUUAAUUUCAAUUUUGGUCUACGGUUUACUUAGAAACUAAAAUUGAAUCGAAAUUUCGGUAUAUAGUUGAAUUUAAUUCCUUAUCAUUUUAGUUAUGUUUUAUUUCAAAUCUACAGUAAUAAAGUAAUGGGAAGGAGGAGCUACUCCUGCCAAAUGGGGCGGAAGUAGCCACCACACGGCGGAGAAAGUGGAGAGCUCUAGAAAGAAGAGGCAAAACUGAGAAAUUACAUCAAUGGUUGGAUUAGUGGACCACGCAUUGCUGGCCCGUUUUCGUUUAAGACCUGUUGCUUAAUUCCACCUGUAUGAAAAUAACGCUACUAGCUUUGGGAUUUCCAUUCAUCUUUUUCCAGUUUUGGAAUUCUCAAAAUUGAAGGAUUUUUUUUUUUUUAAAAAGAAAAAUAAUAUAUGGAUAAGUCUUGGAUGACUUUAAGAGGUUAAUUUUGUUGCUUAUUGGAGAAAAACAAAAGCAUACAUGAAUAAAACUCUCAUAUUUUAUUUUUUUUUGAAAUAGAGGUUGGGGGAGUCGAACCUUAGACCUCUCAAGACUACAAAGAUGCACUUUCCACCAGGUUAAGCCUCGAAGUGCAUUCUCAUAUUUUAUUUAUUUUUAUUUUUUAAAUUCAUACCUUUUAUAUUAUACGAGUUUUGAGUAAGAAUGAACUGUGGCAACAUUCUAUAAUUAAGUACAUACUUCUGCAAUGAUUGUGGUCUCUACACAGAUCUAACAACAAUUUCAAUGAAUUACUUAUUCUUUAUAUUUUUUAACAUUCCAAAAAAAAAAAAAAAAGAAAAAGUAAAACAACCCUCUGCAAUUCCAAAAUCAUUCAGAGGCUCUUAGGCACUUACAAGUAAUGAUUUUUUACAAGACAAAUCAUGGCAAAAUCAUUCCACAAACAAUUACUAAUAUCUUUUUAAUUUGUUAUAUAUUUAUAUAUGAUCUGAAAUGAUAACGCACUCUUUUAGAGAGCGAAAAAUCACUAUAGCUCCACACUUUUGGUUAUAAUUAGGAAAAAUUUACGAAAAUUUCCAACCAAUUCAUCAAUACUCUCCAAGAAAAAGAAACAAAACCACAACUAUCGAUCACAGCUUCACAAUUCCCUGCAGGAUAUCAUCUUUUGUUGAAGGUUCCAUGGCAUGGCACUCUCUACACGCCACCAAAAAUGACCUGAAAAAUCUCCGGCAAAUACCCGAUGACUUAUCUUUUUUCCCAUGUUGAUGAUCACCUUCUUUCUUUUUUAUCACCGCUGCAUUAUUUUUUCUCCUGGAAUCAUCACGUUUCAGGGCUGGCAUUGGCAUGACAUGUUGCCACCUUUGAGAAGAUCCAUAUAGCUGCUCCAUUAUAACUUUACUAGCCAUAGGAGUUUUUCUUGAAAGCUUUGUACUGUGAUAUAGUAAUCUCCUUUCAGAAUUGUCACUACUCCAACUUGUUCUUGCGCUGCUGCUACUCACACUGCUUCUACUGCUAUUAACACUGUUGCUUCUUGACGACAUGAGGGAACCUCUGCUGCUCAAGCUGCUGUUUCUACUAGAUGCUCGAGAGAUAGAUUCGAUAAGAACCAUGGACGUUGCUGGUGAUUGUUUUUGCUGUUGAAGUACUACUGGGAAAGAAUGAGGCAAGAGACGACCAUUGGAGAAAAGAUGAUCAGCUGGUGAGGACAUGUACGGAUCAUCAGUUGGAGGAAAAUCAGGUGUUAAACAACCGAAUUCGAAGUCGGAAUCUUGAUAUUGACUUGGAGUGCUAGGGAAGGAGAAAAUUUCUCUAGAGCUAGUCUUUUGAUGGUGGUGAUGCUCCAUGGGAGGUUUUUGGUGAAAGGGUGAUUUAAGCUUUGUAUAUAUAUGAAAGCUAUAAGGUAAAUGAUGAAGAAAAAUGUAUAUAUAUAUAUAUAUAUAUAAUUAUGUUAAAUUAUAGUGAAAAAUAAAAUAAUAAUGAAAGAUCUUUAUAUGCUUUUUGAUGGGUAGAAAUCACGAGGUCAAUACUUGCCAACUCAACCUCCAGUGAUCCAUGUACAUAAACAAGAAGUGAUUAGUUAAUGUGAGUGAAGUCUCUAAAGCUUGUUAUUGAAUAUAUACUUUUCUUUACUCGAUGUCCAAGGGCACAGCCUCCCAAAUAUACUCUUACAUAUAAAGCAAAAAAGACCUUUAAAGAAAGGAAGGUGGUCAAGCAACACGAGUACCAAUAACAAAAUGGUGGUGUUUGGGCUUCAAACUAAGGCCAUAAGCUAUGAUGGGAUCAACAAAAGUCUUUUCUUUUCUUUUCUUUUCUUUAUGCAGUGGAGCUGGGAAAGCUAUAAGAGAAAAUGACUAAAGAGUUUUUAAUGUGAAUUUUCUUGAUCACUGAUCUCCUCAAAAUGAGGACAAAUGAGCUCUUAGAAAAUUUGUUUUGUCUCCCAUUAGGGUUUCUAAGGAAACCUUUAGGUCCCAUAUGAGAUCAUGAUGCCUUAAGGACCACACAUCAUCCAGAUUUAUUUUUAUUCAUCAUGCCUUGAGGACCACAUAUCAUCCAGAUAUAGUCUUCUGUUUUCCCUCCCCACCAAGCAAGUUCUUUGUUGGUUCCCUUUGUUGAUACUCUAAUUAUGUCUUGUGGUAGGUCUACAUGUUAUUAAAGAUUUUUGUUUCAAUUUAUUUCUUUGACCAUUAACCAAAUUUUUGACUUGAAAUUCUUUUCUUUUUAUAAUUAUUAAUAUGCCUCGUUUAGGUUAUGCACUCGAUUGAAGUUCUGAUUUCAGCUUGGGUGUACCACUUGCAUGUAAUACUAGUAAAGCUGCUUCCUAAGUAUAUAUGAACGAUUAUUUUCAACUUUCUCUUUUUUUUUUUUUUUCUAUUUUUUCCUCUAAACAGUGAUAGUUAAAAGUUUAUUGCCAUAACUGGUUUUGAUUUACAUCGAUCAAACUCAUCAUAAGAGAAUAUAGUGUUGCUUUCUGAGUUUUAUAAUUGUAUUUAGGAUUCAAAUUUAAGAUCACUGAUUAAAUAAAAAAGUAGCUUAUAUUAUUCCACCGAUUAAAAAAAUAGCCGUGACAUGAGAGAAAUAUUUAUUCUGAUAGGAGUUUAAAAGGAUGUCAUAUAUGAUGUAAUAAAAAGAUUACAUAAUACAUUAAUUUAGAUGCUCAAUAUAUUAAAAAAAAAUUGAGUGAUGCUUUAUAAGGGCUUAAUGUACGUGUAUAUGUAGACACGUACAUAUUUUUUUAGGGACUAUGCCCUUAUGAGAGAGUGGGACUUCAACUUGGUCUAUUGGUGAAUGGGCCAGCUCAUUCUCUAAAAUGGCUAAGCCAUAUCUUAGACUAACUCCAAAUGAUGAGUAUUCUAUUCCUCAAAUUCAAUUGGAUUUUAGUCCACAUGCUUAAUUAUCAUUUGGCAUAUAUGUGGUGGCUCAUGUACUUGGAUCUGGCUCCUUGUGGCUUCACCCUCAAGGUCUAGCCUCUUUAACUAAGCUCAUGGGCCCGGUUCAUUACAGCCUAACCUUCUAUUAUAUUCCAUACCAUGCUUGUUUAGCAUUUAAGUCGGUAGAAGAAGUGAGGCUCAAUUUUGAGUAAGGGAUAGAAAAUAAAUAGUAUCGAGUUAAAAUUUUUCAUCUAUUUAUUUAAUUUCUUUUAGUUGUAUAUCUCGUAAAUUGUUUUUAGUUAUUGUGGCAAUGCAUAAGAAAAGAAAGCUAAAUUUUAAAAUGCACAUUUAAAUUUAAAUUAAUAGCGUAAGGAGAAAACCAAACCCGAAAUAGGUGUCUUGUGUCCGUACCCAAUUUGAUGGGACCAAUCCAUGACCACGAGGAGGCCCAAUUCUGCCGCGAAAUUCAACAUGCGAUUCGCAACUCUUUCUUCGUCGUCAACUGUUGGAAGAUCCUCAUCUCCUCCUUUUUAGUUUUACACCACUCUCCCUUUCGUUCACUCUUGGCCACUGUGAUCCUUGACUUCCAUAUCCAUUUCUCUCCAAACCUCCUAUAUAUUUGUAGCUGAGCUUCACCCAAAAAGCAAUGGCUGGCAAAGAAAUCUUACACAAGAUGAAGGUAUUUUUGCUCUCAUUCACUCCGUAUUUUUCAAUAUGUUCUCUGUAAGCACUAUUCAACAGCUUCUUAACACUUUCUUGCUAAGACUGGAUAUGCUGAGUUUGAGUUGAGACAUUUUCUCCACUCUUGAUUAUUCUGUCCCUUGGAUCUGGUUGAUUUUAUGGUAUCUGUGUAGAGAAUUUUGUCUGUUUGUUUGUUUGUUUGUUUGUACUCCUUUCAAUUGGGGGACUGGAAUGUGUGUGCUUGAGAUUCAAUUAGGUGAUUUUUUAGAUUUUGUUCUAUUGUUUGAGAUCACUACCAGAUGGGUUGCUGAUACUCUGGAGCCUAGAGAAGUUCUUUAAAUUUUCUACUCUGAGGAUGCGUUCUGUUGCAAUACAAGUAAGUUAUAUGGUGUGGAUUAGUGAACAAUUGAUAGGGAGCUAGCUGACGGGUUGGAAUUGAUGUGUAGUUAAUGAGUCAGUUAAGCUCCAACUAUAAAAGAACUUGUAACUGUAUUGAGAACUUUUUCUGGAAUUGUUUAAUGAGAAGGAUUGUGUACUGUGGCGACAUUUCCUCUAUUUUCUUGUUUCUUUCAUUUUUGUAUCACAACAAUUGGAAUCAGAGCUGUUGAUUCGCUGCAAUGGCAGGGAAGCUUGCUCUUGUGAAUGGAACUAGAGGUUUCUUGAUUCUUCUUUCUAGUUUUCUCUUCAGCUCAAUCCCCGUUUCUAUUUCUUGACUUCUAUGUUUCCAUUUCUAUUUUUGUAUUCUUCCUCGUAUUUUCUAGUUGUUUUCUUGAUUCUUUCUCUAGUUUCCAUGCUUGAAUCAAUUUUUUUUCUCUUCAUCUUUCUCUUAAAUUUCAUUUCUCAUUUGCAACAAGAAUCAUGGAUCAUUUCCUCUUGAAAUCACAAGGACAACGUCAGAGUUGGAUGAUAGAAGAUGUAAUGGUUUGUGUUUACGUUGUGAAGAAACUUAUUCAUUGGGUCUCAAUUGUGACAACUGAAAAGGCACCAUUGUGACCAUUAUUGAUGAUGAAGAAGAUAAAGAAGAUGAGAAACUAGAGAUUGCAGAGAAGGUAGAUGUAGUAUUUUCAGACACAAUCAUACCUGACUCUGAAUCACAAUUUGUUGCUAUUUGAACCUCGUGAACCUGCUCCUCAUGAAAUGACAAUGAAUUCAGUUGACAGCCUGCAGGAGGAGAUCUUAGAAGUGAGGCUUGCUGAAACUCAUAGUCAUGGUGGGCCAUGAAAGUUGAAAAGAUGACGUUUUGGGAAAACUGGAGUGUGGAAAUGAGGGGGCAAAGUUUGGCUUGAUUAAAUCAGCUCCUCUUUCAAGAGGGAAAAUAAAUGGGAAAUGUGGAGUUUGUGCAAGAGGAAGAUAUAGGAGUGUCUUCAAUGUUUAUAGGCGCUGGUAAAGCAUUUGCCAAACAGUUGGAUGAUAGUAAAAAAGUCAGCUGUCCUUCGAAAGUUCUUUGCAGUGUGUCUUGUGAUAGUUCGGGUCUCUUGCAACUUCAGCCGCUUCCUAUUGUGGCUGCAAUUGCUGCUGAGCAAAUAUGGAUUUUUUGGGGUUCAUUAGUUUGUUGUGACUUCAUUUCUAGAGAAAGAGAUUUAAAGUUAAAAGGCAUAAAUGUGGUGAAAUCAUAUCCGGGAAGAAUCAAACUUAGAUGUUCAAGUGUCAAGACCAAUUGGACAUUUGGAAAUAGUAAAAUGCAAGAUGAAGCACUGUAAAUUCCAAAAAGAUUCAAUUGGGCAUUUGGAAAUGAUAAAAUGCAAGAUGAAGUUCUUCAAAUUGCAAAGAAAAUUCAGUUUCAAUAUGCUGGUGAUUCUCAGCUUCGGUAUCCAAAUUGGCUCUUGAGGUCAAGUAGCUUUUCGAGGGAGUGAGUAUUGUUGUAAUACAAAUAAGUGAUACGGUGUGGAUUAGUGAAUAAUUGAUAAAGAGCUAAUGGGCGAUUGCAGAGUAGUUAGUUAGUCAAUUAGGCUCUGGCUAUAAAAGGACUUGUAAGUGUAUUGAGAAUUUAUUCUGGAAUUGAUAAUGAGAAGGAUUGUGUGCCGUUGAGCCUUUUCCUCUGUUUUCUUCUUUCCAUUUUGUAUGGCAACAGUUUUUGGGAAAUUCCAGUUACUAGGUGACAUUUGUUCCUGAACCUGAAAGAUUUGAAAGUACAUUCAAUACAAGAAUAAACAUCAAUGACUUAGAGCUUCAAUUUUUUUUCCCCCUGAGCUUUGUCUUUUCUUUUUUAGGUGAUCAAUUUGAUUUCUUGCGGAUGGAAUUUGUUUCAUUAUCACACGCACACAAAAAGAGGGUUCGAUCUUGACUAUAAUUUAUGUUUUACUUCACAAUUCACAUAUGAGGUAAUUUUUAGUAUAUAUUGUCGUGCACCCUGCACUAGGAGCCAAGAACAUGCCAAUUUGCUCUUUUACAUUUCCAAUUGCUUCUCUUUAUGUGUCCCCGUUGUUAUCUUUGGUAAUCAGUUAUUUGUGAGUGGUCAAUCUCCAAUUAAUUUUAAACAAGUAUGGGAGUACACAUUUUGUGAGUUCUGGAAGUGCUAUAUUGUAGCUGGCUUUGCUGGUUUUCAGCUAUAUUUGAUAUUUUAUUAUGCUUUAAUUUUCUGGUGGACUAUUUUUCAUUUGAAUUACCUCUUUGAAUAUGCAUAUCACAGGAAAAAGUUGGAUUAUGUUCAUCUACAGCCUCUGGAAAGGGCAAGAGUAAGAUGUCAAAGAAUGUAACACAUGGCUUUCACUUGGUGAAGGGAAAAUCACAUCAUGCCAUGGAAGAUUAUGUUGUUGCUCAAUUUAAGCAAGCUGGUAACAAUGAGCUUGGUUUGUUUGCCAUAUUUGAUGGUCAUCUGAGCCAUGUUAUUCCUGAUUAUUUGAGAUUGAAUUUGUUUGACAAUAUCUUAAAAGAGGUAAGUCAUGCUGUUUGCUUUUCAUGCUGCUGUUAAACUUCUUAAUCACUGUGGACACUGUUUUAUGUUUUUGAUUCAAUGGGGAGCUAAACAGCUCAAACCUAGGAUCUCUACCCAAAUCACCUCCCCACUCUCCCUCUAGCAGAACCACCUGAACUAAAUUACUUACGAGCUUUAAACUAUACCCUUGGGUUCCCUCUCUCUGUGGGUUUAGAUCUAUGAACUAUCAGUUGUGCUAAUGUGGAUUGUAGAAUUGCCAUUUCAAUUUGAAUUAUAUAAAUUCUUGCUGAAAUAUAGAUCAUUUCAUAAUCUGUGAAGUCUACAGUGGCAUCCCAGUUUGCUCUCUCUGUCUCUCUCUCUCUCUCAUAUUCAAAACCUUUUUUUUGUCUAGAUUAAAACCCCAUCCAUUUUGCAAAAACUACUGUUGUGUAGAUAUUUUCUGAUAGUUGGUCUUUACAUUGAGAAUCAAUCAAACUUAUUUCUGGCAUUUCAAGUACACUAGAAAAAUUGCUCCGACAAAGAAGACCAUUAGAAUGUUUUGACCUAGAGGGUUCUGUAUUUUUUUUUUCUGAUGGAGAAUAUUGUGAGAAUGUCUGGACCCUGAGGUUUAUAUGUUCUCAAAAUUGGUUUAAUAUAUUUCAAUGAAAUGACAAUUUGAUUAAAUAGAAGGUAAAUUAUUGUGGCCAAUGGCUAUCGAAAAUAACUUGUGAUAAUUGAUGGUAGUUAGACUAGUGGGUGUUUGAUGGUGAGCUUAUUGACAUUUUCGAUAGUCAAAAUUUUCCAGCAUUCCUAAAACACUAUUUCCAUGUUUGAAAUCAAGAAAUUUAUAAAAAUUCAAGUCAAUUGAUUUUUUUUUUACCAAUUCUUGUGCUUGGAAUGAAAGAACUUAAUUCUUUUUAACUUGGAAAUAUUCUCAUUUCAAAAGAAAUAAUAGUAUUCAUGCAUGAUUAUAUCAUUUAAAUCAUUUUCUUGCAGAUGAUUUAUUACAAAUGAAGCAUAUAAGGCACAAAUAAUGUUUUAAUCAAAAUAUUUUCUAUGAAACAAAAUGGAGCCUAAAAACGAGUACUAAUUUUCAUGUUUAUGCUUUCAGCAUGCAGUUGGCAUAGCUAAAUUUGAGGAAAUAAAUCUGUUUUUUUCUUUUUCAAUUUUUUCCUGCGAGUAGCCAGACUUCUGGAAAGAGCCAGAAAAUGCCAUGAGGAGAGCAUAUCAUAUUACUGAUACUACUAUUUUGGACAAAUCAGCUGAUUUGGGUAGGGGGGGUUCUACUGCAGUCACGGCAAUAUUAAUCAACUGUCAGAUGCUGGUAGUGGCCAAUGUUGGUGAUUCUCGAGCUGUUAUCUGCAAGAAUGGCAUGGCCAAGCAACUCUCUGUUGAUCAUGAACCAAGUGUAGAAAGGAAGGAUAUUGAGAACAGAGGUGGUUUUGUAUCCAAUUUCCCAGGUAAGAACUUCACCAGAUAAAGGGAAACAUGGUUAUGCGAGUUUUUGACUCCCACAUGAACAUUAUUAUUACACCAUUUAAAAGUAUAUAGUUUGAAUUAAGAGUUUUAGCAUCAUAAGCACUGUCUAUUGUUGCUCUGCACAAUGCCCAUUGGAAUAUUGAGAAAUGCGUUCAACUUGAUGAUGAUUCUCUUUAACAGGAGAACAUGGGGUUGGUUAUCUUUUUGGUGUGCCAUUCGAAAAUUAUCUAUGCCCUUAUAUCAAACUGGUGAAGUCCUGUGUUCUGAGUAACACUAACCAACCUCACAUGUUUGCACACCUUUCCUUUGCUGUCGUUUACUUGUUACUUAUUUCUGUCAUGGGUUGAAGUUGAUAUCCUAUAAGAUUGUCAGCCAUGUGAUUGGUUGUUACCUUUGCGGUUUGUCCUAGUUUUUGUUGGCCAGCAGUAAAAUAUAAAUUUUAUGCAUUCAGGGGAUGUUCCACGUGUUGAUGGGCAAUUGGCGGUGGCAAGGGCAUUUGGUGACAAGAGCUUGAAAAAGCAUCUUAGCUCAGAGCCGGAUAUCACAAAGGAAGUGAUUGAUGAGGACACAGAAUUUAUUAUCUUAGCUAGUGAUGGAUUGUGGAAGGUUGGUCCUAUGGAGAACUUUCACUAAACUUUAAAUGUCUUCUGCCUUGACCUUUGUUGCGAUGAUACAACUUUUUGUUUCCCCCUGGAAAAAGUAUUAAAUAAAAUCUGUUCUUCUGGUAUGAUGCCAGGUGAUGUCAAACCAGGAAGCAGCAGAUGCUAUUAAGGACAUAAAGGACGCUCGUUUGGCAGCAAAACACCUUGUAGAAGAGGCACUUAAUAGGAAGAGCAAAGAUGACAUUUCCUGCAUAGUUGUAAAAUUUCAGUGAUCUCUGAACUCCUCUUGGAUUAUUCGUUUGAUGAAUAAUUCCCAGAUACCUGUAAUUUUCCUGUAACAUUAAUAAACCUUGUAAUAUUUAUUUUCUGCCUCUUCUGUAGUAGUUCUGGUCUUCUAUUGCAGGAAGAGCUUGCCUGCUGUAUUUGGAAGUUGGAGUACAGAUUUCUGGUUUUGAUCUUCUCAUCAACUGUUGAUAGUAAUGUAAGGGGUUGAGCUUGCUGGUUCUUGGGUUCUUGUCUCGGUUGGUUUCCCCCUUUCUGUAUUACAUUCUCGCUUAUAAAAAAAACUACUUAAAAAUUUAUUUAAAUCAUUUUUCAAUUUUAUUUUAGAUAAUAGAAAAUAAACUCGUACAAAGUAUUUCAGUCUUGAAGAUGCGAACUGAAAAUAAUCAAUGAUCAUAUUAAAGGUGAUGCAGCUUUGAAACUAAACAGUAGUCCUGUAUUUUUCAAGGUUACUGUUUUCUUAUUUGAUUAUGCACAUUCUUUUAUAUUGAAUUAUAUCUUGUCAACUCUGCCAUAGUUGCUGAUGGAUACUGACAACUAUCUUCCUCUGUUUUUUCUCCUUCAAAGUUGAAAUGGCCUCAUCUCUGAGAUGGAAGAUUCCCUCCUGAACAGCAAAUUCCCAGCAGGUUUAUCUUAUUACUUCACUCAUCUUCCUCCAGCCCUUUCCUUUGUAGCGCUUUUGAGAACGAUUCUCUUUUAAUAUGCUAUUACUAGUCUUUUCAUUCAAACUUCUAAGGAUUCUUCCCAAUGAACCCGUCAAAAUAAACAAAAAUACAGACUAAUUAUGGUAGUUUGAAUCUUCUGCACUCUUGCACUGCGAUACGUACACUCCAUCACUAUAAGAUAGAUAAUUUACAAUGUUGAAAUUCAAUGAUGAAGUCCAAACAUUUCAGGCCAACUUGAGUCUGAGUGGUGCUCCACCCUUGGAAAAGGAUUCCUCAUUAUUGUAGCAAAGGAAGAAUGAAGAGCCUUACCAAAUUCAUAUAUGACCAAAUGAAAGUUCAAAAGAUAAUAUUAGCUAGUCAUUCCAAAGCAAUCAACAACAUUAUAUAUAGAAUAACAAGUACAAGAGUGAAAUUCCAGAAAGCACUAGCACAUGUAUAUUAUAUAAUAGAGACUCCAAUCCAUUCUCUUUUAAUAAGAAAUUUCGAGUUCGAAUCUAAGUUUGGAAUACAUUGAAAACUGAGAAUUUGAAAACCGAGAAUGAGUCUAUCCAAUGCGAAUCCAAAUUAGUUGAGCCAGUCGAUUACGAAUAUCAAAAGAUAUAUACCCAAAAUAUAUAUAUAAGAUUUAGGACAAUAAACAUCAUAUCAAACACAUACCACUUAAUUAUAAAAGUCUAGUUUGCAUGAUGUAAUAUAUAAGAAUACAAUAACUACAUAUGACAUACAACAACAUGAAGUGAAAGCAAACUUGCCUCAACUUCCACAUAAUGAUUCAUGAUAUAUUGUCCUUAUAUUCUUGUAGAUAUAAUAUAUAUAGCAUACUGAAAGUGCUUGAAGCUAGGCAUAAGAUGACAGAAGAGAGGGAGCAUGGUGGGGUUCUUUGUUCACAGGAUUUGGGAUCGUUUGUAAGUAGCAGAAUUAUUCCCUGGUAUGGUUAUAUGAUAUUUGCCUCUUUCAUCAGCUUGCCUGAACUGGCUUUCCUUUAACUGAGCCUGUCCACCAAACAACCCUUUGCGGCCGCUGGACCCUUCCCCGUAGGAUUCAGCUGAGCUCUUCCUUCGCCUCUCGUUGUGUCCUGCCAAACGCCUGCGGCAACUCCUUUUUGCUUCAUCAAACUCUGACAGCUCAUGGAACCUUAAAAAGCUCAAAUAACAUUAGGUAAAUGGAAUAAUAUGAAUAUUCUUGUCUGUUCAAAUGCACUUUUACAAGAGAAAUCAUGUCAUUUUAAUUAUAAAUAUGAAAAUGCACAUGAAAUUUAAAAGCACAUGUUUACCUGCUGCAUUGUUGACAAAACCUCUGCCUAAUGCCAGAAACAAUGACUGCUGGUGCCUUUGCAUGAAUCUCACACACCUUAUGUCGCCUGUGGUACCUCUUAGCCUCGGUUAAAUCAGCUCCACAUCUCUCCACCUGGCAAGACGGCGACGAUGACCCGCCGCUGCUGCCACCUCCACCACUAUUCCCUCUCUUCCCAUGCACCAUACCAACUCCUUUUUUCUUCUCAUCAUCAACAAACCCACCACUUCCGUCUUCUUCUUCCAUAUCAUCAUCUAAAUCUUCAUCAACAAUGCAAUCAUCUUUGAACAUCACUCUUUCUCUGGAACUGCGCUUCCCUUCAUGUGCUUUGGCAUCCAUUGUUAAAGAGUUGGCUGGGCAAAUGAAUAUGUGGUACUUGAAGUACUUAAAGGAAGGCUUGAGAGAGAGAGAAAGAGAGAGAGGACACAAGGGUGAUAAAGAUGGAUGGAGGACCACAAAGCUACACUUAUAUAUAUUCUUGGGUGUUUGUAUUGAGUGUAUGUGCGUGUUUAUGUCAGUGAAAAAAGUGGAUCAUUGCAAGUUUUGAAAGAAAGAAUUAAAAGAAAGAAAAGGGUUUGUAGUUAAGCUUCUUUUUCUGCCUAAAUCUUGUUCUUGGGGGUUAUAGAGUGAUAGUUUCAUUUGGUACUGAAGCUUGUGCUGUGCUCACUCUCAAUUAUUGAUCCCAAAGGUGGUCCUGCCUCUGAAAAUUAUUUUUAAGAUUUGUUAUUUAUAUAUGCAUUCUUAUUAAGCCACCCAAGCCCUAAUAUGAGUGAGUAUCGAGUUCUGGUAUAUAUACCUGAAUCAUCAAUGAAUUAUUUCAACACUCUAUCUAUGUUUUGAUAACUAAUGCCUCCUCGUUGGAAACCACUUCAAUCUCAUAUUUUGUAAUUUUUUUUUCUAGAAAACCAUAUAACUUGCCUAGAAUACACCAUGUAUCACCUCUAAGUAUAUGGUCACUCACAAAAAAUCAGUUUUUUAUCAACUCAAAAAAAUACAUAUGAUCCAAAACAUCGAUAUGGAAAUAACAUGAAAGCAUCAAUGAUGCUUAAUAUUAAAGAGAAUUAGCCUUUUUCUCCAAAUAUAUACUAUAAUUUUAUUAAUGAAUAAAUCAGAAAAAAACUUAUUAAUGUGGAUGUGUAUAAAUGUCCAAAGAAAUUUGAUUUUUUUAAAAAAGGUUUUAGGACAGAGAAAGAAGUGAAAAACAAUGUGAAGUGAUAAUAGUGGUUGGCAGAGGUAUGUGAAGGACACAUCAGAAUUUUGAUUGUAGUGUUAAAUGUAGGGUACGGCACCAGUGCAAUGGUUGCACAAAAUUCUGCUUCUUUAAGUUGGACAUGCAGAGUUCCCUAUGCUUCAUCUCUUCUCUUUUCUUUUACACCCAUGCCCAUGGACCUUUAUUCUCUCUCUCUCUCUCUCCUUUUUGUUCUUCUGUCGUUAUUACAAGAUGUGAGAUUUGAUUUCAUGUGCAUGAAUCAUCAAUCAUCAUCUUUUAAUUAUUAAACUAGAUUCUAUUACAAUCGAUGUUAAUAUAGCUUAUAUCAUAUGUUUGUAUUCAUACAGCCUAGCUUUCAUGAUUUUCUUUUAGGUAAAUUAGAUUAAAAAAUUUAAAUUUUUAUAUAAAAUUUUAAUUAUAUCUAUUUAUUUUUGUAUAAAAUAAUUAAACUUUUGAGAUUAGUUACAAUUAUCUUUAUAUUUUUAAAUUAAUUUAACUAAAAAAUUUAUCAAUAUUUAUGAUCUAUAAUUAUUUUGUUAUCAUCAGCAUAAUUAAUUCACUAAUCGAGAAAUUUAGACGAAUUUGACAAUCACUUUAAAAAAAAUAAGUUCAAUUUUAACUGACAUAAUAAUCGAUUAAGUAAGCUAGUUUAAAAGUAAAAUCUAAAGAAUAUAAAUUUAAAAAUUAUAUCGCAUUAAUAAAAUAUUAUUAAAAUUUAAAAAUAAUUUUUGAAUAAUCCAUGUAGAAAAUGAUAAAAGUAAAAUUACGAUAAUAAGAGAAGGUUAAUUGGAAUUUAUAUUUCUUGAACUCAAAUGAGAAGUUACAUUAGUUCAUAUUGAGUGUUUUUAUGAAUUUUAUUCGUGGAGUAAAGUUGAAGCAAAAUAAGAGGAGAAAAUUGAGAUAAAUUGUAAUUAAAUGUUGAUUAAAAAGUUUGAUGAUGUGAUAAUUAAUUUAAAUUAAAAAAAAGUCACCUAUUAAUGGAUAUUUUUUUUUAUCAAAAUUAAUUUAGAGAAAUGGAUACAAUAAUAACUAAUUUCAAAUUUCAAAAAGAUUCAAUAUUUUACAUAAUAAUUAAAAAAAUAAAUAUAAUUAAAAAUUCACAUAAAAAUUUAAAUUAUUUAGUUCAAUAGGCCUUUCUUUUAUAAUGAAAAUCAGAAUCUACCAUUUUUUUUCACAUUUUCUUUUUUUCAAGAAAUUUGUUGGUAUAAACCAAACUCACUACCUGAUUUACAAAAUAACGUUAAAAUUAAUGGCCUUUCACCUCCUACUUGUUCUAUACCUUUCAAAUUAUUUCACAGAGUCAGACUAAAGUCAAAGCAUAACAAGACUUGACGGUUUUAGCCUUUAGAAUUUGUUUUUUGAAAUGAAAAUUAAGGGAAUAAAAUUAAAAUCUCUCAAACUUAUUUAAAUACACUUAUUAUCAGAUUAAAACUAAGACUGUGCAGCAUUUAAAAUUUAUAAUUAUAUAUAUUAUAAUAUUUUUAUAAUUUUAUAUAUUUAUACCAUUUAAUUCUUUAAUUAAAUGUAAAAUUAGAUGGUUAAUAUUUAUUGACAUAAAAAUUAAAUAAUUUAAUUUUAUAAAACAUAUGAACAUGUAAUUAAAUAUAUUUUUAAAAAAAAUUAAAGAUCUAAUAACAAGUAUGGCUAUGGUUAUAGGAGGAAGGAAUUGAAGUGCAUAUAAAUAAAAAUUAAAUUACAAAUUUUUUUUUAAAAUUUUUUUUGAGGAAAGUAAAAAAUAGUAGCAGGAGAUAUGAUUAUAUGAUAGGACCCCACACAAGUUUUUCACGUGGCUACCGUGCCAUCAAAAAUUGCAUCCAGGACAUGACAAAGACAUCACACUCACUACUUAUAUUGAUAGAAUCAAAUUAAAAAUUGAAGUUAUUGAUAAAUAAUAAUUGAGAAAUUUUAAUCAUAUAAAAAAAUUAAAUAAAUUUAAUUUGAUAGUGAAUGUAUUUAGAUAAAUUUAAAAGAUUUUAAAUUUUAAUUUUUUAAUUUUUAAUUUUCAAUUAAAAAAAUUAAAUUUUAUUUUAUUUUUACAUGAUUAUUAAGAAGCAAUUAAUGAUUUAAAGUGGAAAAAGAAAGAUAGAAGAGUAAAAAAAAGAAGAGAGAAUCAUGGGUGAGUUUUGAUUAAAAUUGGAAUUUAUGCUGGGGAUAGGAUUCCUGACCAUCAUUAGAGUUGAAAUUGCCAAAACAACAACAACUAAAAAGAUAAAAGAAUAAAAAAAAUAUUGACCAAUAGAAAGGUCACAAAAAUUUUUGGACGAAUAAAAAAAAAAAAAAAAUCAAUGGUCAUUUAUNNNNNNNNNNNNNNNNNNNNNNNNNNNNNNNNNNNNNNNNNNNNNNNNNNNNNNNNNNNNNNNNNNNNNNNNNNNNNNNNNNNNNNNNNNNNNNNNNNNNNNNNNNNNNNNNNNNNNNNNNNNNNNNNNNNNNNNNNNNNNNNNNNNNNNNNNNNNNNNNNNNNNNNNNNNNNNNNNNNNNNNNNNNNNNNNNNNNNNNNNNNNNNNNNNNNNNNNNNNNNNNNNNNNNNNNNNNNNNNNNNNNNNNNNNNNNNNNNNNNNNNNNNNNNNNNNNNNNNNNNNNNNNNNNNNNNNNNNNNNNNNNNNNNNNNNNNNNNNNNNNNNNNNNNNNNNNNNNNNNNNNNNNNNNNNNNNNNNNNNNNNNNNNNNNNNNNNNNNNNNNNNNNNNNNNNNNNNNNNNNNNNNNNNNNNNNNNNNNNNNNNNNNNNNNNNNNNNNNNNNNNNNNNNNNNNNNNUUAUUAUUAUAAGUUUGGUGGUACAUUGAGUCUUUUUAUUUUUUUUUUAUUUUUUAAUAUAAUUUUAUUUUUUAUUAAAAAAUAAUUUUUUCAAAGUUUUGUUAAAAAAUAUUAUUAUGUAAAAAUUCAUUUAAAUCAUCUUCCUAUAAAAUAAUAGUUUCAGAGAGAAUUAUGUUUAUAAAAAAAUUUAAAUUAAAUAUAAAUAAAAACAGUUACAUCUGUCAAAAUAAUCCGAACCAAAACUAGAAUAAAGAAAGAAAAAAUUCUGCGUAGUAUCUAAGCAUAUAAAAAAUUCAAUUUCAAUAAAAGAAUUUUUUUUAGAACAAAAAUCUACAUCAAAUACCCUAAUUUUAAAAUCGACAAUAAUUGUAUCCGAAAUUCAAAAUCAAUUUGUAGAAAAUUAAAAUUUUCUUACUAUGAAUGCUAAAUAUGUACUAAUUUAAUAAAAUAUAUGGUGUUUUCUAUGUGUACAAAAUAAAUCAUAAGUGAAUGCAUACUUUUUUUUAAUUAUUUUUCUUUCAACCACGUAUUGCUACUCUUGAUUUUUAUUUAAAAAGUCACUUUGUAUUUCACUUUUACUUGCAUUAUAUUUAAUACAAGUUUUAUAAAUGUAUUUAUUUAAUUAUUAUAUUUGCAUUAAAAAAUACCGUUGAAUUUUAUAUCAGUUUAGACACUCCUUAAACUUAAAUUAAUUUUUCUUUUAAAUUAAAGCCGAACGAAAUUUAAUAUAUAUUUUUUCCUUUCAGAUAUAUCAAUUUUAUACAAAUAAAACUAUUAAGGCUUUCAAAUUUUAAUCGACCGACAUGUGAUGCACACGUAAUAAGAAGAUUAAACAUAUUAAAAUAUUAUCAUUAUUAAAAUUUAUAUAAUUAUAAAAUUAAAUAAAAUAUAUUAAUUUCUUUUAAUUUUUUUCAUCUCGUCAUUAGAAAAAAUCCAUUAAAUGGAGUAUUGCUAAUUAAAAAAUUAAACUAGAACCUCCUAAGAAUAUGAGAUGAGGCUAAUUUACUCUGGAAAUUUUAGUUUAAGGAGAAAUAACACUUAAAAAUAUAAAGAGUGUAUUACUCUAUUUUAAAUUAAUAUGAGAAUUUAAUAUACCUUCUCACACUUAAAAUUAAAUAUUCGGAGCAUGAUGUUCUGAUAAUAAAUUCAAUAUUUAAUAGGAGACUAAUACUAUUUUAAAAAAUAAAUCGUGUCUAUUUUAUUCAUAAAAAUUAAUUUAAAAAGAAAAAGAUUAUCUUAGAUUACAAGAGACACGUUACCUUAUCUUAAAUUAAUGUAAAAUUUAACUUUGCAUUUCGCCAUUAAAAAUGACUGACAUAAUUACGGGCCGAUAUCGUUUUAUUAUGCAUUAUUAAAAAAAAAUCUUUAUCAACAUCGUUCAUGACAGUGCCAAACGUGAUUAGUAUAAAUUAUCUUAUAAUGAAGUUAAAUAGUUAUAUUUUAUAAAUUUUAUUAUUGAUAUUGUUAAAAAUUAAAUAUGUAAUUACACUUCUAAAAAAUUCAGAUGUGAAAAUGAAAAAGAAAUAAAGUGAGAGUGCAAAAUAGUUGUCAGAUAAAGAUAAUUGGAAUUGCAGUUAUAGGUCAUUUUCGAUUUGCACAUAGGAAAAAAAUGAAUAUUGGAAUUAUGUUUAGUUGUUUUUUAGUGCCAAACGUGAUUAGUAUAAAUUAUCUUAUAAUGAAGUUAAAUAGUUAUAUUUUAUAAAUUUUAUUAUUGAUAUUGUUAAAAAUUAAAUAUGUAAUUACACUUCUAAAAAAUUCAGAUGUGAAAAUGAAAAAGAAAUAAAGUGAGAGGGCAAAAUAGUUGUCAGAUAAAGAUAAUUGGAAUUGCAGUUAUAGGUCAUUUUCGAUUUGCACAUAGGAAAAAAAUGAAUAUUGGAAUUAUGUUUAGUUGUUUUUUUUUUUUUUUUUUUUGAAAUGGUAUGUUUAGUUGCUUUCUAUUCAUGUUUAGAUCAAUCUUUUCCAGCUGGAAUUUUAUUUGGAAAUUAAAUGAACAAAGUAGAGAGCGUAUCAGAUUCUAUGAGUUUUUAUUUUUGUUUGAAACAUGCAAAUCGACAAAAUUUAUGCACUUUGAGGAUAGAAUGCUAAAUGUGAGACAGCUGCCUCUUCUCUCAAUUUAUUCACGUUCCUUAUAUUUUUGGCCAAAAAAUUAUUUAUAUUUUUUUAAUAUUUUUGGUAUUUUUAUAUUUUUAAUUCUACAAUGAUAAAUACUUUUAAUAUUUAAGCAAUUUAAUUACUAUUGUUAAUAUUUAAUUUUUUAAUUUUUAGUAUUAAAAAUAAAAGAAUUAUGAAAUAUUAGAAUAAACCACCAGAACAUAUUAUAUUUUAUAUAUAUAUCAAAUGUUGAUAGUAACCCACCAAAAACUUACAAAAAAAAAAAAGAAGGAAAAUUCAGAUGAAGAAUUGGGAAAACAAAGAAGCUAGGUAGAACCAGCUUUAUCCCAGAGUUUGUAUGCCCUUGUUAGGCUAGAUCAUGACAUAUGGGUCAAUUCAUUGAAAUAGGGCUUUUGCUUUGGCAAACUCUUACUUCAGGGAGUUCAUAAAUUGGUUUGGGCCUUCAAAUUAAAAUUUAUUUUAAUUGUUUAAAGUGCAAUUAUUUUCCACUUCACUGUUAUAAAACUAUAUUGAUUAGAAAAUUUGAUGAUGAGAAUUGAUAGCCCUUUUGAGAAACCCUUCACUGCUAGCUUUGAAACAAUUGAUUGCAACACAAAAUUGAAGAGAGGAUUUUGAUGUGGAACAAACAGCAACGCCUUAGAAUUGAGGACUUGCAAAAUCCAGUAUGCAAUUGCCAUGGUGCAGUGGUGAAAUGAUGACAGGAGUAGUAGCAAUUAGGGUUUGAUAUGAAUUGGGGUAAUUUAAUAAUUUUUAGUUAGAUUUAGAUAAAUUUAAAUAAAAAGUUUUAAUCAGUCAUAUUAAAACUAAUAUAUUUGAUUUAAUCACCAAAAUGAAAAUACAUUUUUUAUUGGUUUAUGCCAAUUAAUUAAUUAAUAAUAAUAAUAAUAAAUAAUUCAUUAAUCAACUUAUUUAUUUGUUAAUUUAUUUUUAACAAUUCUUUUCUGUGGUAUUAGAAGGAAAAGGUACGGCAAGUGGAAAAAUAUGGCGGAGACCAAGAUAAUAGGCGUCGUUGGCAGUGGCCAGAUGGGCUCUGGUAUCGCGCAACUUGCCGCCGUAUACGGGCUCGAUGUCUUGCUCCUUGACACGGAUCUUGCUGCUCUCUCCAGAGCUAGAAAAUCUAUUGCCGGUAACAUCCAGCGUCUCGUCUCCAAAGGUCACCUCUCUCAGGUCAAUCAAAUAUUAUAUGUUUUCUUCCUGUUGGUUGUUUUGUCUAAUGCUUUGUUUGGUUGGAGGGAAGAGAAAAGAAAAGAAAAGAAAAGAAAAGAAAAGAAGUUUCUCAAAUUUGUCUUGUUUGGACAUGAAUUAGGAGAGAAGAAGAGAAAGGAGAGGAAAAGAGGGGAAAUUGUAUUUCCCAAUUUGUUGCAAAUGCCCCAACAAAUUUCCCCCCAAUUUGGUGGGAAAGAGUGGGAAAUAGGUAUAAAGCACCUGCAUAUACUUCUUUCUUUUACAGGAGAAAUUUGAUUUCUUCUCUAAACUACUUAUUUAUCCAAACAUCAUAGAGUAAAUAAAAAUUUUUUUUCUUUUCUUUUCUAUUCAUUUCCUCUCUUUAAUUUCUCUCCAAUUCUCCUGCACAAUUAAGGAUCGAAACAUAGGGUAAGGAGUUUUAUGAGUUUCUAAGUUAAAAUUGACAUAUUCGGUUAAUCAACAGACUCAAAACGCUUCUUAUUAAGUUAAAAAAAUGCUGGGUGUCGGAAUUUGUAUAUCCAGACCCCACCGACGGUCGACUCCAGCCUAAAACCCGAAUUUGAACCUAGCAAAUGCAUACCCAUUUUGAAGAGUAGCACGUUGUAAAAUUGUGCAUAUAUCUGCACUAUAAGGGAAGUGCUUGCUUGCUUUUACCCUUGCCAACCAUAAAUACAAACUUGUGUGGCUGGUAAGAAUCACCAAUUUACUCUAUUUAUUCUUUCAUUCUUAUUGUGUAUUGGCUUGUGAAAUAAUUAUCUGUUGGUCUUAAUUUUAUCCUUUUAUUGUUUAUGUGCCACUUUAAUCUAAUCAUUAUGCAAACUUGCGGUUUUAAUGAUUUUAGGUUCAAAUUAGAUUGGGUCUUGAGAGUUGAAAUAUUUUUUGAUGGGAUUUUAAGCUACCAACUGAACUUUUACACUGAAAUAGUUGGUUCCGGUGUUAGUAAGAUGUUAAUAGGAAUAAUGGGAUUGAGCUUUAUUAACUUCAAGAAUACCUGGCUACUGUGAGAAUAAGAUGUUGAUAAAAAUAUGGUUUUCCCGUAAACCCAUGUGCAUGAACUUUAAAAUAUUAUGCCUAUUCCACUUGACAGGCAGCUUUCAGUGAAGCUGUGGGGCGUCUAUAUUGCACCUCAAAGUUGGAAGAGCUGCAUGAGGCAGAUUUUGUUAUUGAAGCUAUUGUGGAAUCUGAAGAUGUGAAGAAAAAGUUAUUUCUUGAACUAGAUAAGAUUGUUAAAAGUUCUGCCAUUUUGGCUUCCAAUACAAGUUCUAUCUCCAUAACACGUCUUGCCUCAGCAACUAGCACGCCGAGCCAGGUUGUGCUUAGAUUAUUUCUUCUUUUACCCUUAGUUUACCUUGGAACAUAUAAUAAGCACAUUUAAUUCAUUAAAAUAUCUCCCAUAUCAACAUUUUGUGCGAGUCUACUAUGGAGUUUCUUUCUUCCGUUUCAUCAUGUUUAUGCAUUAUUUUCAACAAAUCAAGAUUCUAACUAGGUCAUGGAAAACAUAUCAUCUGCAGGUAAUUGGCAUGCACUUUAUGAAUCCUCCCCCAAUAAUGAAAUUAGUUGAGAUUGUGCGUGGUGCAGACACAUCAGAUGAGACAUUUUACGCAACCAAGACCUUGGCAGAGAGGUGACCGAAAUACACUCUUACUAGAAACUUAAUUGCCGUUUGAAUGAUUAAAUUUUGGUAUUCGCUGUAUAUAUAAUGAUGGGCAUAUGAAAAUUUAAUUUAUUUUUAAUAUUAGCUUAUACAAGUGAUUGAACUUCUUGUGCAUCAAAAUGACUAGAUAAUUCGAUAUUAAAGCUCAAUUAUUUAUAUUGUGCACUUCCAUUAUUUAUAUUUUCAAUAUGGGACUUUUUACCCAAUUAAUUUCCCAAUGCUUCCCUGUGAGUGCAAACACAUGGUUAUUACUUGACAAUUAAUUGGCAUUAAUUCAAUAUGGGCUCAAUCAUACGGCCAAGUGAGUGGUUAAUCUCACAGCCCAAUCAGAGCUCGAAUAAUAUAUUAAAUUUGAAGAGAGUGACAAACAUAUUGUACUUUAAUUCAUUUUUAGUAUGGAAUGUACAAUUUAUUGAGCUGUUUGCGCAUAAAAAAUGACUAAUCAAUCCAAUAUUAGUAUAUCACAACUCAUCCAUUUAUAUUGCGUCAUUCCAUUAUUGAAUUUUCAAUGGGACUUUCUACCAAAUUUAUUUCCCAACAUAUGCAUGUGCCUGCGAUAAAAAACUUUGUUAUACUUUAACAUCCAUUAAAUAUUUCUGGAUGGUCUCUAUUCUUUGUUUCUCCUCUGUUUUUAAGUUGCAGUAGGCAAACAGAAUAUCUCUCUUCCUUUUUUUUUUUAUUGUCCUUACUGCAUUAUAAUAAUUACAGUCCACUAUCUGCUUUAACACCAAUGGCUGUUAUAUCUGCAGGUUUGGCAAGACAGUUAUAUGCUCACAGGAUUUUUCUGGUUUCAUUGUAAACCGAAUUCUAAUGCCAAUGAUAAACGAAGCAUUUCAUACUCUUUAUACAGGAGUGGCAACAAAGGAGGACAUUGACACAGGAAUGAAGUUAGGAACAAACCAUCCAAUGGGUCCUUUAGAGCUUGCAGAUUUUAUUGGAUUAGAUGUCUGCCUGUCAAUAAUGAAAGUGCUUCAUGCUGGCUUAGGGGACAGUAAAUAUGCUCCCUGUCCACUUCUCGUGCAGUAUGUUGAUGCAGGUCGUGUUGGACGAAAACGUGGCAUCGGAGUAUAUGACUAUCGUAAAUCCCUUGAACAAGUAAAGCCAUCAGCUCGGCUUUGAAAUUUAUAGCAUAGUAUUUUGCCAAUAGUGUAGUGCUUUGUAAAUAAAUUACAUGCAAAUAAGUGUCCAAUACCAACUCCUCCUACUGUUGUUUUCUUCCUUUGGAUCCUUGCAAAUUAAGAACAAGCUCCCAGAAGGUGGGCAAGAUUCCCCCAUCCCCACACUUAUAUAAGGGGAAGAUUGUGCUUGAAGUAAUGAACUUCACAGACUUUUCUAUCAUCUGUUCAAAUAUAUUGAUGAAUUGUUAAUAUUAUAGCCUAGUAGAUUCUUUAAUAAGACCUCAAUAUGACAUUGCCUUGUCAUUUUGUUAUAUUAUAACUCAGAUACCAAGCAGAUGAUUUGAUGUGAAUCUAAUUCGAUGUAAAUCGGUUUACUUUGGUAUUCUUUCUAUUAUCUUAUUUUCAAUAAUAUUCUGAAUUCUAUCAGAUACAAUGAUGGUGAUAGCAUCGAUUUAAAAUUAUUGAGUACCGUAAUGCGACAGUAUGCACGCCUAGAAGAUCCCAAGGGAAGUUCCAGAGCCUUCAAUUUUAACAAUGUCAGACGCUUUUUGAGUAUGGAAGUGACGAUAAUUCCACGUCACUCCUCUUCACAAUUAUUAUUAUUAUCUUCUUCUUCUACCGGCAAAAGCAACCCUGAAAGUCGCAAACUAGAUUGCAAUUCACAUGCUUUAUUUAUCUUUUCUUUGUCCACAUUUAAAGCAAACUCAGAUUCACCACCACCACCAUGCUUGCUGUUGAUUAUGCUUCUUGCUUGUCCAUGAACAAAAAAAAAGGAAAAAAAAAAAAGAAAAUUUGUUAACAAAAUUUCCAAUUAUGAUCAUUGAAUUCUAACCCAGUUGAUAUCAAUAUAACUCAAGAUUUGAAACUUUUCUAGCUACAUGGUAAUGUAAAUUAAAUUUAUUGUUUCUAAGCACUAGGGAAUCAUUUAGGGUGAGACAGAAGAAUCAGAAGGAGCCUCUAAAUUUCCACAUUAGUGACGAAAUAUGGCCCACAAAGAGAAGAGAGAGAGCCUAUUAAGAGCAUUAAGUUCAUUGUUUCUCAUAGCCAACCCUACCACACCCCUACUGUCAUUCUUAGCUUUUCUUUAUUGAAAGCGAUUGAUCUUUGAAUCCUACGGAUAAAAACAAUUUGCACAAAUUAAUAACCAACAUUAUUAGACCAGAAAGAGGAUAAAAAGGCCAAAGAAAGCUAAGACUUUUGCUGCAUACAAGGUUUUUGGUCCAUUUUUCAGAGCUGAGAGAGAGAGAGAAGGCAUAAGCAAUGAAGUUCUUGUUCCAGUGUCCUUGUUGCUCAUGUUUCUGCUUCGUGAAGCCCAAGCAAGGAAAGCCAAAGGCCAAGGAAGCAAAGGUAGAAGAUUCCAAGGAAGGAAAAAAGGAAUGAGACGAUUGAUGCUGUUUGAAAAUGAUGGAACUGCUCUUUUACUUUGCUGCUGUAUGUAAUAUGUAAAAUUUUUUCUUUCUAGUUCAUCUGAAAUGUUUCCACCUUUUAAUUGCCAUGCAUGGAAAAUAAAAUUUCACAUUUUGUUUUGCCUCUAAUCUGGCAAAAUGUAUGCGAGUUUCUGCUUGAUCGCUUUGCAUAUCAGUUUGUCUCAUGACAGUAAUAGAAAAUGUGAAUCAACCCAUUCCCAUAAAAGGGAGUCUUUAUGGUUUGUAAGCAUUCUAAAGCAUUUGUUUUAGCAGUUCUAAGAGGUAUAAUUGAAAUUUGCCAAGAUAUUUUGAUAUUUUCCAAAAUUUCCCCACAAAUUUUCCUGAUUUGUUCAGCUACAACUCCAUGUUCUUCAAAUUGAUUUGAGGCCAUUUGAAAGGGAAGCUAUUCUUUCUAAAACAUUGUCUAAAUGAUUAUGGUAAAAGAUGUAUAGUGUGCUCUUUGGCUCCAUGAAUAUGCUUUAGAGCAAAUGAGAUUGGCUCAAUGUAUCCAUUGAUAAUUUGCUGCUGGUAAUUACUGAGAAGGCAGCUUGGCAGAGUUAUGGUAAUCAAUAAGAGGGUAACUAAUGACCCAUGGC
RNAcentral lists this long non-coding RNA (37176 nucleotides) under Manihot esculenta (cassava). Its description in RNAcentral is "long non-coding RNA (MESC_LNC001734)". Lineage: Eukaryota; Viridiplantae; Streptophyta; Magnoliopsida; Malpighiales; Euphorbiaceae. The record is from RNAcentral.